CGGUCCCCUCGCGGCGUAGAGUGAAAGUACCGGUGUGAGGCAGCGAGGCUGCGACGUAAGAGAGAAAGUCCUCAUAUAAAGGCCGUGGGAGGCUGGACGGCGGUAGUGUGGCUACUGGUACCGGUGAUGAUGACUUCGGCAGCAUUCCUCCUCACGAUGGCAGUGACGGCAGCGGCGCUACAACCGGACACGCCCUUGCCGCCUGUCAUUUCUUUCAAGUCUCUUCCCAAAGACCUCAUCACGCACGACCCAUACGCUCACCUCCACACCUUCUCUGAGGACCAUCAUGAUGUGUUGCAGAACAAUAUCCCACACCAGUCUUUCAGUUUGCGUAUUAAGGACGCCUUGCCCUCCAAGUUCAUUAGGUUUCCCAGUACUUCGCACACCGUGACUCCACACCGUCAUGCAUCAUCCUCCUUCAGAAAACCAAGUAUCGGAGUGACACCGGUUGGACCCUCAGUGCCAGCGCCCUCGAACAAACCUACCGUGUUCCUCCACACUGUCGGUGCGGUGGACAAGGUGGGCGCCGCUGCACAUGUGGAACAUAUCACCCAUAACCACUUCCCAAGCCUUGGUUAUGACAUCGAUUCGUACUUUACUGGUUUCCCUGUUUUUGGAUUCUUUGACUUUAAUCCAGACAGGGCCGGUUUGACCACCAGAACCCACCUGCCGCCCUUUCCUCAAUUCCCGGAGGACAUACCUCUCAAAGGCAGCAAAGUCUCCCUCCACGCCCCAUACCACGCCACGCACCACACCUCCAAGGCUAUGGUGACUCAACAAAUUCACCACAAAAGCCGUUCAAAUCCUAAGCAAUUCCGCACCAGAGUGCCAAGACAGGCGAUGUUUUUCCUUGGACCCCCCUCCAUGCCCUCCAAUCCCAAGCCGCGCACUUCUACAAUUCUCUUUUAAUUGUCAUAUUUGUGUCCUCAAAAUGUUGGAUGGCCUUGAUGUAUUUUCGUAUUAGUAAGUUUUCUCUUCGUUUGAGGUUAUUUUUCUUGUACUUUCCAAAAUUAAAGUGUGACGCAAAUGGCCGACGCUGCGUCCCUGUCAAGCUCUCAUAACCUGACUCCUGUUUUAGGUUGUGAAGGAUGCUGACUAUGUGGCGCUACAUGUAUAUUGAUGCUUGUCGGCGACCUCACUGAGACGUCUAGUCAAGAGUGUGCAGCAACCAGCUUGUUGUGAAGUGCGGGAGGACUUCUUGUGUCUCCUGGGAGUCUGGUGUGGUGUGUGCAAUGGUUACAACGUGCAUCCACACGAAGAUAUCCCUCCACGUUCGGCGUAUAAAUACUCCAUCCACCAUCCUGCCAUCCCGUUGUGCGUUCAUACAUACAAACAGUUCCGUGCCAGUGGUUCAGGAGUGCUUCUCG
This 1367-nucleotide unclassified non-coding RNA is filed under the name Portunus trituberculatus (swimming crab). RNAcentral's name for it is "uncharacterized LOC123505637, transcript variant X3". Lineage: Eukaryota; Metazoa; Arthropoda; Malacostraca; Decapoda; Portunidae. The record is from RNAcentral.